UUAAAUUGAAGAGUUUGAUCAUGGCUCAGAUUGAACGCUGGCGGCAGGCCUAACACAUGCAAGUCGAACGGUAACAGGAAGCAGCUUGCUGCUUUGCUGACGAGUGGCGGACGGGUGAGUAAUGUCUGGGAAACUGCCUGAUGGAGGGGGAUAACUACUGGAAACGGUGGCUAAUACCGCAUAACGUCGCAAGACCAAAGAGGGGGACCUUCGGGCCUCUUGCCAUCAGAUGUGCCCAGAUGGGAUUAGCUUGUUGGUGAGGUAACGGCUCACCAAGGCGACGAUCCCUAGCUGGUCUGAGAGGAUGACCAGCCACACUGGAACUGAGACACGGUCCAGACUCCUACGGGAGGCAGCAGUGGGGAAUAUUGCACAAUGGGCGCAAGCCUGAUGCAGCCAUGCCGCGUGUAUGAAGAAGGCCUUCGGGUUGUAAAGUACUUUCAGCGGGGAGGAAGGUGUUGUGGUUAAUAACCGCAGCAAUUGACGUUACCCGCAGAAGAAGCACCGGCUAACUCCGUGCCAGCAGCCGCGGUAAUACGGAGGGUGCAAGCGUUAAUCGGAAUUACUGGGCGUAAAGCGCACGCAGGCGGUCUGUCAAGUCGGAUGUGAAAUCCCCGGGCUCAACCUGGGAACUGCAUUCGAAACUGGCAGGCUUGAGUCUUGUAGAGGGGGGUAGAAUUCCAGGUGUAGCGGUGAAAUGCGUAGAGAUCUGGAGGAAUACCGGUGGCGAAGGCGGCCCCCUGGACAAAGACUGACGCUCAGGUGCGAAAGCGUGGGGAGCAAACAGGAUUAGAUACCCUGGUAGUCCACGCCGUAAACGAUGUCUACUUGGAGGUUGUGCCCUUGAGGCGUGGCUUCCGGAGCUAACGCGUUAAGUAGACCGCCUGGGGAGUACGGCCGCAAGGUUAAAACUCAAAUGAAUUGACGGGGGCCCGCACAAGCGGUGGAGCAUGUGGUUUAAUUCGAUGCAACGCGAAGAACCUUACCUGGUCUUGACAUCCACGGAAGUUUUCAGAGAUGAGAAUGUGCCUUCGGGAACCGUGAGACAGGUGCUGCAUGGCUGUCGUCAGCUCGUGUUGUGAAAUGUUGGGUUAAGUCCCGCAACGAGCGCAACCCUUAUCCUUUGUUGCCAGCGGUCCGGCCGGGAACUCAAAGGAGACUGCCAGUGAUAAACUGGAGGAAGGUGGGGAUGACGUCAAGUCAUCAUGGCCCUUACGACCAGGGCUACACACGUGCUACAAUGGCGCAUACAAAGAGAAGCGACCUCGCGAGAGCAAGCGGACCUCAUAAAGUGCGUCGUAGUCCGGAUUGGAGUCUGCAACUCGACUCCAUGAAGUCGGAAUCGCUAGUAAUCGUGGAUCAGAAUGCCACGGUGAAUACGUUCCCGGGCCUUGUACACACCGCCCGUCACACCAUGGGAGUGGGUUGCAAAAGAAGUAGGUAGCUUAACCUUCGGGAGGGCGCUUACCACUUUGUGAUUCAUGACUGGGGUGAAGUCGUAACAAGGUAACCGUAGGGGAACCUGCGGUUGGAUCACCUCCUUACCUGAAAGAAGC
This 1556-nucleotide ribosomal RNA is filed under the name Salmonella enterica subsp. enterica serovar Gaminara. RNAcentral's name for it is "bacterial SSU rRNA". It matches the Rfam family "Bacterial small subunit ribosomal RNA". The record is from RNAcentral. RNAcentral also lists the same sequence under 1 other name. Lineage: Bacteria; Pseudomonadati; Pseudomonadota; Gammaproteobacteria; Enterobacterales; Enterobacteriaceae.